RNAcentral lists this ribosomal RNA (660 nucleotides) under uncultured bacterium. Its description in RNAcentral is "bacterial SSU rRNA". It matches the Rfam family "Bacterial small subunit ribosomal RNA", at positions 94 to 788 of the family's 1533-position model. The record is from RNAcentral.
AGUGGCGGACGGGUGAGUAACGCGUGAGAAUCUGCCUUGGGGUCGGGGACAACCACUGGAAACGGUGGCUAAUACCGGAUAAGCCGAUUGGUGAAAGAUUUAUUGCCCGAAGAGGAGCUCGCGUCUGAUUAGCUAGUUGGUGAGGUAAGAGCUCACCAAGGCAGCGAUCAGUAGCUGGUCUGAGAGGACGAUCAGCCACACUGGGACUGAGACACGGCCCAGACUCCUACGGAAGGCAGCAGUGGGGAAUUUUCCGCAAUGGGCGAAAGCCUGACGGAGCAAGACCGCGUGAGGGAGGAAGGCUCUUGGGUUGUAAACCUCUUUUCUCAGGGAAGAAGCUCUGACGGUACCUGAGGAAUCAGCCUCGGCUAACUCCGUGCCAGCAGCCGCGGUAAUACGGAGGAGGCAAGCGUUAUCCGGAAUUAUUGGGCGUAAAGCGUCCGCAGGUGGCGAUUCAAGUCUGCUGUCAAAGCACGGGGCUUAACUCCGUAAAGGCAGUGGAAACUGAAUAGCUAGAGUGCCGUAGGGGUAGAGGGAAUUCCCGGUGUAGCGGUGAAAUGCGUAGAGAUCGGGAAGAACAUCGGUGGCGAAAGCGCUCUACUGGACGGCAACUGACACUCAGGGACGCAAGCUAGGGGAGCGAAUGGGAUUAGAUACCCC